GACGAACGCUGGCGGCGUGCUUAACACAUGCAAGUCGAACGGAAAGGCCCUGCUUUUGUGGGGUGCUCGAGUGGCGAACGGGUGAGUAACACGUGAGUAACCUGCCCUUGACUUUGGGAUAACUUCAGGAAACUGGGGCUAAUACCGGAUAGGAUCUCCUGCUGCAUGGUGGGGGUUGGAAAGUUUCGGCGGUUGUGGCUAGACUAGCUGCUUAUCCGCUUGUUGGGGGGGUAGUGGCGUACGAAGGCUUUGACGGGUAGCCGGCCUGAGAGGGUGACCGGCCACAUUGCGACUGAGAUACGGAGCAGACUCCUACGUGAGGCAGCAGUGGGGAGUAUUGCGCAAUGGGCGGAAGCCUGAUGCGGCAACGCCGCGUGCGUGAUGACGGCCUACUGGUGGUAAACCGCUUUCGCCUGUGACGAAGCGUGAGUGACGGUAAUGGGUAAAAAAGCACCGGCUAACUACGUG
This 468-nucleotide ribosomal RNA is filed under the name uncultured bacterium. RNAcentral describes it as "partial 16S ribosomal RNA". It matches the Rfam family "Bacterial small subunit ribosomal RNA", at positions 28 to 507 of the family's 1533-position model. The record is from RNAcentral.